UAUGAACUGAAUGUGAAGAUAUAUCUUUUGUUUUUUACAGGUUUUUUUCUUUAAGAAAAGACCACUACCCUCCACUGCUCUAGGCCAAAUUAACUGGCAGUGUUUCUUCAGGUGCAUGAAGAAGAUGCUGUUACAGCAUGAGGAGAAGAAAUAAGAGGCAGCAGGACACAGUGUGUAGAGUUUGGGGUUUUGCAGGGCUGUUGUCCCUGCUCUGUGUCCUCCCCCCAGAAUGGACAAGUGCAAAUAAUUACUUAUGCAUUCCUGACAAAAGAGGCCCAUGAAUUUUUCUCCCCACGUAGCAAGGCCAUUGACCCAUCAGCUUGGACCAGCUCUUUGUCAUUUCACCUCCAGCAUUAACAAAGUUUCUACAAAUAAAGAAAUUGAAACCAAAACGAAACAGAAAAACAAAGGACUGCACUAACCUACCUUGGAAAACAAAGAAUAGUUGAUGGACAAGGACAAGCCACCAGUGGCAUGAUUUUCCUCUGCUCCCAAAAAAAGAUUUCGGAUGCUGAUCUCCAGAGACUUUGUUUGCACUGGAGGAAAAGAAAACCUCUAUAUUCUAUGAAAAUACACCUGGAAACCUAAAGGAAAACAGCUCCUGUGCUCCAAGGCUGCGCUGUGAUGCCCAUCAAGCAUUUGCUAAUCUCUUCCAAGUUUAUCAAACCUGGGGACCGUGAGCAAGCCCUGCCCAACAGCCUUGGCCAUGAGUUACUGGGGCCUCUCCCAGGACACAUGCCCCACUGCUGCACAGGAGCCCAGCUCGGGAAUCCAUUGUCCUGGUUUCUAUGUUUUGAAGAGAAGGAAGAGGGUACAGUGGCUUCAUGUAGAAGGCAAACAUUGUCUGACACUGUAUGUGGGCAGUGAGGUGUGAGGAGAAAAGCCACAGAGCUCAGAGGCAGAAGGGGCUUCCAGAACCACUGAGCCAUUUUUAUUCCUGCCCCAUGACAGCUAAACAGUAGUCUGAAGCUACUGUUCUUCGUGUCUGACAGGGGCCAGGUGCCACUUCUGCAUUGCACUGACCCAUAGCACAGCUCUGCUCCCCAGCCACAGCCACAGGGCACACAUCCCUCCUCAGGAAGUUAUGCCCUUGGAAGGAUCUUUGCCCUACUGCAUCCACCAGGCAGGGAUGCUGUACAUCAUUAGGCAAAUGUUAUUUCUUAGAAAGCAAGGGCUGGAUUAUAAAUUUACUGACAUGCUGCUGCAGGAUUAAGGCAUCUGGUUUUGUACUGAAAUUGCUGUCGGUGUUUGUUUUCAAUUGUUUGUUUGUGUUUUUGUGGGGUUUUUCCAUUUGGUUUGGUUUUUUUUUAAUCAUCCUAUUCAGGAACUAGUGUUAGUAGUAUAAGUACAGUGUAUUACUGGCUUCCUGACUCCAUUGUUCACUUUCUUUCCUUCAGAAUAAAUAAACUGCAAAUACACUGAAAAGCCCUAAAGGAAAAGAGAAGAAAACCAAGCGUACCACCAAACCUAAAACUAAAACUAACUCCCCUUUGCAAAACAAGGUGGUUUCUGGGAAUGAGAGGCGCUGAAAAACUUAAUGGGACAUAGCUUCUGGCAUUGAUUUGGUACAGCUUGCUCCCAGCUCUUCAGCAGAUGAUAGUACCAGGGAAUUAGUACAGAGCUGGGGGUGCAAUCUAGCUUUGUUAUUCCUAAACCACUCAGCUUAAUCCCUUCUUAGAGAGAACAUAUGCAUUGAAUAAAAGUUUAUUGGUUUAAAGCUGACCAAUCUAUUGAAGUUUUU
Long non-coding RNA from Corvus hawaiiensis (hawaiian crow), 1741 nucleotides. RefSeq lists it as uncharacterized. The transcript is spliced from 5 exons. The record is from RefSeq and is a predicted model, not a curated record. NCBI's taxonomy places the organism in Eukaryota, Metazoa, Chordata, Aves, Passeriformes, Corvidae.